AGUGAACGCUGGCGGUAGGCCUAACACAUGCAAGUCGAACGGCAGCACAGGAGAGCUUGCUCUCUGGGUGGCGAGUGGCGGACGGGUGAGGAAUACAUCGGAAUCUACUCUGUCGUGGGGGAUAACGUAGGGAAACUUACGCUAAUACCGCAUACGACCUACGGGUGAAAGCAGGGGACCUUCGGGCCUUGCGCGAUUGAAUGAGCCGAUGUCGGAUUAGCUAGUUGGCGGGGCAAAGGCCCACCAAGGCGACGAUCCGUAGCUGGUCUGAGAGGAUGAGCAGCCACACGGGAACUGAGACACGGUCCAGACUCCUACGGGAGGCAGCAGUGGGGAAUAUUGGACAAUGGGCGCAAGCCUGAUCCAGCCAUACCGCGUGGGUGAAGAAGGCCUUCGGGUUGUAAAGCCCUUUUGUUGGGAAAGAAAGCCAGCUGGCUAAUACCGGGUUGGGAUGACGGUACCCAAAGAAUAAGCACCGGCUAACUUCGUGCCAGCCGCCGCAGUAA
This 506-nucleotide ribosomal RNA is filed under the name uncultured bacterium. Its description in RNAcentral is "partial 16S ribosomal RNA". It matches the Rfam family "Bacterial small subunit ribosomal RNA", at positions 29 to 523 of the family's 1533-position model. The record is from RNAcentral.